UACAGAGGUCUCAAGCGUUGUUCGGAUUCAUUGGGCGUAAAGGGUGUGUAGGUGGCGCGCUAAGUCGGGGUGUGAAAUUUCGGAGCCUAACUCCGAAACUGCAUUUGAUACUGGCGUGCUUGAGGACUGGAGAGGAGACUGGAAUUCAUGGUGUAGCAGUGAAAUGCGUAGAGAUCAUGAGGAAGACCAGUGGCGAAGGCGGGUCUCUGGACAGUUCCUGACACUGAGACACGAAGGCCAGGGGAGCAAACGGG
RNAcentral lists this ribosomal RNA (254 nucleotides) under uncultured bacterium. Its description in RNAcentral is "partial 16S ribosomal RNA". It matches the Rfam family "Bacterial small subunit ribosomal RNA", at positions 524 to 776 of the family's 1533-position model. The record is from RNAcentral.